ACAAUAAAAUAAUCGUAGUCAUAGGACAACAUUUUCACAUCGAAGCACCACUAACUAUAUAAUUUAAUAAUUCGUAAUAGGUUACAAUUUAAACUUAUGUAGCCUAUUGUUUCUUGAAUACCGUUGUUUAUGUGUAGUUGAACGUGUUACAGUAUCUUUCUUAAACAGAGACCAUCACAAGAGCUUGGAGGACAUGCAGCACUUUAACAUGAUUUGUGAUUCAAGAACUUCUCCUACAUUACAUUUCAUGGAGGAAGUUUGGAGAAAUGUGUGAAAUCAAUAAAGUGCGCAGCGCCGACCGAUCAUCGAUUAAACGGAAACAAACAAAUGCAGAGGAGGCGUAACAUAAAGGACGACAGAGCGUACACAUUAAAGAGAUUGGCCUGUCAUAAUCUAUGCCGCUGAGUAAUCAGUGUUGGAUUGUGUUCUGCUACAAUAGCACCCGAAAAAGGACGGCUAGAAAAAGUCCCAUCCCAGAAAGGUGACAUCAUCCUCUUUGCCAAAGAAAGAUGACUGCUGCCACACCUGGAAUACUGCAGGGCAAAGAGAAGAUUGAAAUUGUGGAGUCUCAGUGGGAUUAAUUGAAGGUGGAAAGCAAGAGGGAGCGAGAAGUGGAAAGACGUGGAAAACAGGGGAAACAUGGAAAAACAAUCUCUUGCGUCCCUGAGGAAUGGAGUGAUGCGAAGAACUUGUCUAAGGGUGUUGAACAGAGAUGCUUGGAAAGUCUUCUCUCCACCUGAGUGAAGAGUCAAGGUCAUACACAGGCCACGAUUCAUCAACAUCAGCCCAAAUCACAGCUCUACCCAUGAAACACAAAAACAGACAUCACCCCGAUGUCCUCCUCCUGCUGCUGGAGCAGGGAGAGAUGCCUCUCAAGGUCCACUCGGCGAUCUUCAUGGAGAUUGCCUACCACUCCGACAACCUGGACAGCGGCCUCUGAACAUUCUUCCAGACAAGCCUCAACGA
Molecule: long non-coding RNA, 966 nt
Organism: Carassius carassius (crucian carp)
Lineage: Eukaryota; Metazoa; Chordata; Actinopteri; Cypriniformes; Cyprinidae
Exons: 4
Source: RefSeq, a predicted model, not a curated record